UACGGAGGGUGCAAGCGUUAUCCGGAUUCACUGGGUUUAAAGGGUGCGUAGGUGGGCAGGUAAGUCAGUGGUGAAAUCUCCGGGCUUAACUCGGAAACUGCCGUUGAUACUAUCUGUCUUGAAUAUCGUGGAGGUUAGCGGAAUAUGUCAUGUAGCGGUGAAAUGCUUAGAUAUGACAUAGAACACCAAUUGCGAAGGCAGCUGGCUACACAAAUAUUGACACUGAGGCACGAAAGCGUGGGGAUCAAACAGG
RNAcentral lists this ribosomal RNA (253 nucleotides) under uncultured bacterium. RNAcentral's name for it is "partial 16S ribosomal RNA". It matches the Rfam family "Bacterial small subunit ribosomal RNA", at positions 524 to 776 of the family's 1533-position model. The record is from RNAcentral.